GAUGAACGCUGGCGGCGUGCCUAAUACAUGCAAGUCGAGCGAACAGAUGAGGAGCUUGCUCCUCUGACGUUAGCGGCGGACGGGUGAGUAACACGUGGAUAACCUACCUAUAAGACUGGGAUAACUUCGGGAAACCGGAGCUAAUACCGGAUAAUAUAUUGAACCGCAUGGUUCCAUAGUGAAAGACGGUUUUGCUGUCACUUAUAGAUGGAUCCGCGCCGCAUUAGCUAGUUGGUAAGGUAACGGCUUACCAAGGCAACGAUGCGUAGCCGACCUGAGAGGGUGAUCGGCCACACUGGAACUGAGACACGGUCCAGACUCCUACGGGAGGCAGCAGUAGGGAAUCUUCCGCAAAGGGCGAAAGCCUGACGGAGCAACGCCGCGUGAGUGAUGAAGGUCUUCGGAUCGUAAAACUCUGUUAUUAGGGAAGAACAAAUGUGUAAGUAACUAUGCACGUCUUGACGGUACCUAAUCAGAAAGCCACGGCUAACUACGUG
Molecule: ribosomal RNA, 497 nt
Filed under: uncultured bacterium
Lineage: Bacteria
Description: partial 16S ribosomal RNA
Rfam family: Bacterial small subunit ribosomal RNA
Source: RNAcentral